UGGGUUGUGGCUCAGUGGCAGAGUGCUCGCCUAGCAUGUUAGAGGCCCUGGGUUCAAUCCUCAGCACCACAU
Molecule: transfer RNA, 72 nt
Filed under: Ictidomys tridecemlineatus (thirteen-lined ground squirrel)
Lineage: Eukaryota; Metazoa; Chordata; Mammalia; Rodentia; Sciuridae
Description: Spermophilus tridecemlineatus (thirteen-lined ground squirrel) tRNA
Rfam family: tRNA
About the family: Transfer RNA (tRNA) molecules are approximately 80 nucleotides in length. Their secondary structure includes four short double-helical elements and three loops (D, anti-codon, and T loops).
Source: Rfam by way of RNAcentral